RNAcentral lists this ribosomal RNA (1183 nucleotides) under Salmonella enterica subsp. enterica serovar Oranienburg. Its description in RNAcentral is "partial 23S ribosomal RNA". It matches the Rfam family "Bacterial large subunit ribosomal RNA", at positions 358 to 1547 of the family's 2925-position model. Lineage: Bacteria; Pseudomonadati; Pseudomonadota; Gammaproteobacteria; Enterobacterales; Enterobacteriaceae. The record is from RNAcentral.
UACAGGGUGACAGCCCCGUACACAAAAGCGCAUGUGCUGUGAGCUCGAUGAGUAGGGCGGGACACGUGGUAUCCUGUCUGAAUAUGGGGGGACCAUCCUCCAAGGCUAAAUACUCCUGACUGACCGAUAGUGAACCAGUACCGUGAGGGAAAGGCGAAAAGAACCCCGGCGAGGGGAGUGAAAAAGAACCUGAAACCGUGUACGUACAAGCAGUGGGAGCACCCUUUGGGGUGUGACUGCGUACCUUUUGUAUAAUGGGUCAGCGACUUAUAUUCUGUAGCAAGGUUAACCGUAUAGGGGAGCCGGAGGGAAACCGAGUCUUAACCGGGCGUUAAGUUGCAGGGUAUAGACCCGAAACCCGGUGAUCUAGCCAUGGGCAGGUUGAAGGUUGGGUAACACUAACUGGAGGACCGAACCGACUAAUGUUGAAAAAUUAGCGGAUGACCUGUGGCUGGGGGUGAAAGGCCAAUCAAACCGGGAGAUAGCUGGUUCUCCCCGAAAGCUAUUUAGGUAGCGCCUCGUGAAUUCAUCUCCGGGGGUAGAGCACUGUUUCGGCUAGGGGGCCAUCCCGGCUUACCAACCCGAUGCAAACUGCGAAUACCGGAGAAUGUUAUCACGGGAGACACACGGCGGGUGCUAACGUCCGUCGUGAAGAGGGAAACAACCCAGACCGCCAGCUAAGGUCCCAAAGUCAUGGUUAAGUGGGAAACGAUGUGGGAAGGCCCAGACAGCCAGGAUGUUGGCUUAGAAGCAGCCAUCAUUUAAAGAAAGCGUAAUAGCUCACUGGUCGAGUCGGCCUGCGCGGAAGAUGUAACGGGGCUAAACCAUGCACCGAAGCUGCGGCAGCGACACUCAGGUGUUGUUGGGUAGGGGAGCGUUCUGUAAGCCUGCGAAGGUGUGUCGUGAGGCAUGCUGGAGGUAUCAGAAGUGCGAAUGCUGACAUAAGUAACGAUAAAGCGGGUGAAAAGCCCGCUCGCCGGAAGACCAAGGGUUCCUGUCCAACGUUAAUCGGGGCAGGGUGAGUCGACCCCUAAGGCGAGGCCGAAAGGCGUAGUCGAUGGGAAACGGGUUAAUAUUCCCGUACUUGGUGUUACUGCGAAGGGGGGACGGAGAAGGCUAUGUUGGCCGGGCGACGGUUGUCCCGGUUUAAGCGUGUAGGUGUGUGUUCCAGGUAAAUCCGGUU